GCCUUUGUGGUGUAAUGGCAGCACACUUGGCGCAUAUCUGAGAGGUCCAGGUUCGAAUCCUGGCAAGAACA
This 71-nucleotide transfer RNA is filed under the name Stegodyphus mimosarum. It matches the Rfam family "tRNA". Rfam says of the family: Transfer RNA (tRNA) molecules are approximately 80 nucleotides in length. Their secondary structure includes four short double-helical elements and three loops (D, anti-codon, and T loops). Further hydrogen bonds mediate the characteristic L-shaped molecular structure. tRNAs have two regions of fundamental functional importance: the anti-codon, which is responsible for specific mRNA codon recognition, and the 3' end, to which the tRNAs corresponding amino acid is attached (by aminoacyl-tRNA synthetases). tRNAs cope with the degeneracy of the genetic code in two manners: having more than one tRNA (with a specific anti-codon) for a particular amino acid; and 'wobble' base-pairing, i.e. permitting non-standard base-pairing at the 3rd anti-codon position. Lineage: Eukaryota; Metazoa; Arthropoda; Arachnida; Araneae; Eresidae. The record is from Rfam by way of RNAcentral.